GUGCCAGCCGCCGCGGUAAUACGUAGGGUGCGAGCGUUAAUCGGAAUUACUGGGCGUAAAGCGUGCGCAGGCGGUCUGUUAAGACAGAUGUGAAAUCCCCGGGCUUAACCUGGGAACUGCAUUUGUGACUGGCAGGCUAGAGUAUGGCAGAGGGGGGUAGAAUUCCACGUGUAGCAGUGAAAUGCGUAGAGAUGUGGAGGAAUACCGAUGGCGAAGGCAGCCCCCUGGGCCAAUACUGACGCUCAUGCACGAAAGCGUGGGGAGCAAACAGGAUUAGAAACCCUCGUAGUCC
RNAcentral lists this ribosomal RNA (292 nucleotides) under uncultured bacterium. RNAcentral describes it as "partial 16S ribosomal RNA". It matches the Rfam family "Bacterial small subunit ribosomal RNA", at positions 505 to 796 of the family's 1533-position model. The record is from RNAcentral.